AAGACCUCGCUAGAGGUAUGCUUAGGGAAGAGCUUGCGUCACAUUAGCUUAGUUGGUGGGGUAAAGGCCUACCAAGACUAUGAUGUGUAGCCGGACUGAGAGGCUGAACGGCCACAUUGGGACUGAGACACGGCCCAAACUCCUACGGGAGGCAGCAGUAAGGAAUUUUCGGCAAUGGAGGAAACUCUGACCGAGCAACGCCGCGUGAACGAUGAAGUAUUUCGGUACGUAAAGUUCUUUUAUUAGGGAAGAAAAGAUGGNGGAAAAACCAUUAUGACNGNACCUAAUGAAUAAGCCCCGGCUAACUAUGUGCCNGCANCCGCGGCAAUACAUAGGGGGCAAGCGUUAUCCGGAAUUAUUGGGCGNAAAGGGUGCGUANGCGGUUAAAUAANUUUAUGGUCUAAGUGCAAUGCUUANCGUUGUGAUGCUAUAAAAACUGUUUAGCUAGAGUUGGAUAGAGGCAANUGGAAUUCCAUGUGUANUGGUAAAAUGCGUACAUAUNUGGAGGAACACCAUGAAGCGAAGGCGGCUUGCUNGGUCUUAACUGACGCUGAGGCACGAAANCGUGUGGAGCACACAGGAUUAGAUACCCUGGUAGUCCACGCCCUAAACGAUNAGNACUAAACAUUGGGUAANACCAGUGUUGUANUUANCACAUNACGUACUCCGCCUGAGNANUACGUACGCAANUAUGAAACUUAAAGGAAUUGACUGGACUCCGCACAAGCGGCGNAUCAUGUUGUUCANUUCGAAGGUACCCGAAACACCUCACCAGGUCUUGACAUGCUUUUGCGAAGCGCUAGAACCCUCGUGGAAUGAUAUCAGAUGCNCGAGGNGGNGCAUGGCUGGCCUCAGCUCGUGUCGAGCGAUGUUAGGGUUAUUCCCGCNACCGAGCCCUA
Molecule: ribosomal RNA, 899 nt
Filed under: Onion grassy shoot phytoplasma
Lineage: Bacteria; Bacillati; Mycoplasmatota; Mollicutes; Acholeplasmatales; Acholeplasmataceae
Description: partial 16S ribosomal RNA
Rfam family: Bacterial small subunit ribosomal RNA
Source: RNAcentral